GUUGCUUCAUGGCCUUUUGGCUAAGUUCAAGUGUAGUAUCUGUCCUUAUCAGUUUAAUAACUGAUACAUCCUCUAUCUGAGGACAAUACAUUAAAUGGAUUUUUGGAGCAGGGAGAUGGAAUAAGAACCAGUUUCCUCCACUCCAUGCAUCAACCUGGUAUUGCAGUACCUCCAGACAUGGUGCACCCCUC
Cercocebus atys (sooty mangabey) is the source of this 191-nucleotide small nuclear RNA. Its record names the gene U2. It matches the Rfam family "U2 spliceosomal RNA". From Rfam's summary of the family: U2 is a small nuclear RNA (snRNA) component of the spliceosome (involved in pre-mRNA splicing). NCBI's taxonomy places the organism in Eukaryota, Metazoa, Chordata, Mammalia, Primates, Cercopithecidae. The record is from Ensembl.